UUGAGGAGAGGCCGUUAGUCAAGGCUGGUGAUGCAGAAAGACGGAGCCUGAGCUGAUGACUCUCCAGCUACCGCCACAUUCGCUCUGGACCCCCCCUUUCCCAACCUCCUUCUGCUCACCUCUCGACACGGCUGGUUAAACAGCUGGAUCUCCUCACACGUUUUUUCGCUCACGGCAACGACAGAUUGAUGCGCGCAGGCGGAUAGUCGGUCCAUGCAGUAUGCCAGGCCCAGUGCUUGCUUGUCAAUAUAUAUCAAGGUCAGGCCAGGGCACACACAUCUCUGGCAUAAGCUUUCUAAUACUGGGCUGUGAAACUACUAUGGACAUGCUGUAACUUAUUUCACAAUGGAACAAGAGAGACCCUGAAAGCUGAUGUGCCAGAGAUGACGGAGAUGAUGAUGCACCAGGACCCUCCCAACUUUAAUCCGAACCCUGUGCUCUGAUUCAUCCAGGGUUUGCUGACCACAAGUAUUUGUUGAAGGAAUAUCCAAAUAAUCUUUAUACAAAUAGU
Suricata suricatta (meerkat) is the source of this 511-nucleotide long non-coding RNA. RefSeq lists it as uncharacterized. NCBI's taxonomy places the organism in Eukaryota, Metazoa, Chordata, Mammalia, Carnivora, Herpestidae. The record is from RefSeq and is a predicted model, not a curated record. The transcript has 3 exons.